ACAUGUCGUUACUCCUCUUCUCGACAAAACGUUUCUAGGGCUAAAAUUCUGUGGUUCGUGAGAUCUGGAUUGAAAUUUAGGCGAACAUCAACUACUACUCUGAUCUCUGGUUCCAUGUCUUACAUUAAACUUUGCUUGAUAUAUCAAAGGUUAGGUUUUCUUAGCUGGGAACAUAUUUUCGAUUCUCUGAACGCUGGGAAUGUAUUUUCAAUUCUCUUAAAUGUCUUUCUUCUUCUUCUUCGCUUGCUCCUGCUCCUUGUUGAUUCAGAAGAUUGUAUGCGAUCAAAGAGACAUAUUCAUCACUUCAACUUCCUUAUACAAAGGAAAACAAUGGUUACUGCAUAAUUGUUACUUAUAGAAAACAAGGCCUGCUCGCGUCUGACCUUGACUAUUAA
Molecule: long non-coding RNA, 395 nt
Organism: Papaver somniferum (opium poppy)
Lineage: Eukaryota; Viridiplantae; Streptophyta; Magnoliopsida; Ranunculales; Papaveraceae
Exons: 3
Source: RefSeq, a predicted model, not a curated record